This 431-nucleotide ribosomal RNA is filed under the name Nostoc oryzae HSSASE6. RNAcentral's name for it is "bacterial SSU rRNA". It matches the Rfam family "Bacterial small subunit ribosomal RNA", at positions 318 to 779 of the family's 1533-position model. The record is from RNAcentral. Lineage: Bacteria; Bacillati; Cyanobacteriota; Cyanophyceae; Nostocales; Nostocaceae.
ACUGAAACACGGCCCAAACUCCUACGGGAGGCAGCAGUGGGGAAUUUUCCGCAAUGGGCGAAAGCCUGACGGAGCAAUACCGCGUGAGGGAGGAAGGCUCUUGGGUUGUAAACCUCUUUUCUCAGGGAAGAACACAAUGACGGUACCUGAGGAAUCAGCAUCGGCUAACUCCGUGNCAGCAGCCGCGGUAAUACGGAGGAUGCAAGCGUUANCCGGAAUGAUUGGGCGUAAAGCGUCCGCAGGUGGCUGUGUAAGUCUGCUGUCAAGAGCAAGCUCAACUUUGUAAGGCGUGGAACUACCGGCUAGAGUGCGUUCGGGGCAGAGGGAAUCCUGGUGUGCGGUGAAUGCGUAAGAUCAGGAAAACACCGGUGGCGAGGCGCUCUGCUAGGCCCAACUGACACUGAGGAACAAAGCUAGGGAGCGAAGGGAUA